GGUUGGAUGGAUGGGGAAAAGGUGAGGCUGAGUGAGCGCGAGGAGGGGGGACACAUACACACACACGCACGCRCGCACGCGCACGCACACACACAGACGGGAGUAUACAGUUCAAAAGCGACCAAUAACGAACAGGGAAGCCGGUGGGGUCGAUUCAGUGAUGUUUUCUAUUAAAAAUAACUGUUUGUCUGAACGCACACGCGCGUGUUCCGUGACGCCCACCGGACCCCCCCACCCCUGCACAUAAUAAUGGAUGUGCUGAGGGAUGCACAAUGGCGAACAAACACCGGGUUCAGUUCGUUUCUAUCAGCAGCUCAUUCAUGUGCUGGCCGAGCGAUUUCAACCCAUGCGCCGAAUUUCCAGAAAAGUGACAUUCUGGUCUCCUUCUCUUCUCCUCCUCCUCCUUCUCCCACUCCUCCUCCUCCUCUUCCUGCAGGGUCGCUGCCUCCCCGCUCGCCUGUCUUUACCAUCUCCGGGAAGAAGCGUCGUGAUCUCCGCUCACUCAGCCCCGCAGGAGCUCCAGGAGCCGGUGGGCCAUUUCUCCUCCCCCGCCGCACCGGACCGUGAUGAUCACCGCAAACAGGUUCACCCAGCCGGGUCCGGGCUUCCCCCACUCGCCUUUCUUCGCUUAAAAUGAAGCCAUCUGCGACUGAGGCGGGUUUUUUUUAUCCGUGUCUGCUCGCCUUUUUGUCCGGCGUGUUUCAGACGCACCCCUCCCUCCCUCCCUCCGAUGCGAUGCCCCAGCUGCUCUAAGGGGAGACCAUACGGAGCUCCUUCGGAGCAGCGGAGGGGCAAAACCGGGACUUCCGCUUUUAAAGGGCCAGAAGAAGAAAACGAAGGUCCCCAUAAAAAUAUAUAACAAAUUUACAGGAGCUCAACAAUCCAGCCUUUGUGGAGCGAUGUGCCCCAACCAGCCCGCAGAUUAUACCAGAUCUUUGACCGAGGUGUUGCCUCUUGAAACAAAACUGAAAUGAAUGUCGCAAUCACAUCUCAGCACUUUAGAUAGCUUUUAGCUAAUAAAUGUGCAGAAGUGAUUACUGCAGAGAAAAUGUUACAAGCAGACUUAAGCUUUCCAAAAAAAGAUCAAUAAUAGCUUCCUCAGCACCCCACUUCAGCUAUAAUUCAUUUCUGGGCAGAUCAAUGCCUCAGUUACUCAUCUCUGAUGGAGUACAGGCGUGUUUGCCUCCGUAACUCAGUACUGAUGCACCACUGCUGAGUCAGCUGAAGGCAACCGCAAAGCAAGGUCAGAUGCAAGAAUUCAAGAUGUCCACACGAGGUUCCUCAUCAUAACCCGCAGCAAGAACAGGCCGCAGUGUUCUCUGAAGUGACGGAGCCUGGGAAUGAAUGACACCACAAAAUGUCGAGCCGAAUGAACCCCAACCGACCGGGCCGACAAUCGAUGGAUUCGUGUGGAUGGUGGGAUCUCUUACCUCCCUCGCUGUGUAUCUUCUUGGCUCUUCGGUUGAAAUACAUCUUGCCGGUGGAUGUGGGGUAUGAUGAUGAGUGUCGGCGAGGCUGGGACGAGGAAGAGGCCGGAGCGGUGACAUGCUCACGGCUCACCGACAGGCUCCCAGAAGGGUGCUCCGGGCCCGGUUUGCGGUCCUCGUACCUCCUGCGGCUGCUUGGUAAUCAUAAUUUCUCCCUUGAACCCCCGAGGUUACGACGGACGUCGGCUUUCGUCGGCGUCAAAUGAAACGGAAGGAGAGAAUGUUGUACUUCCGGUAAGUAUUUCAAAAAUAAAAGCGCACCAGGAAGUCUUGUUUUUUUUGGCUGAUCUUUUAAUAAAAACAAUAAAAAUAA
Molecule: long non-coding RNA, 1800 nt
Organism: Austrofundulus limnaeus
Lineage: Eukaryota; Metazoa; Chordata; Actinopteri; Cyprinodontiformes; Rivulidae
Exons: 5
Source: RefSeq, a predicted model, not a curated record